RNAcentral lists this transfer RNA (56 nucleotides) under Paramecium tetraurelia. It matches the Rfam family "tRNA", at positions 8 to 63 of the family's 71-position model. From Rfam's summary of the family: Transfer RNA (tRNA) molecules are approximately 80 nucleotides in length. Their secondary structure includes four short double-helical elements and three loops (D, anti-codon, and T loops). The record is from Rfam by way of RNAcentral. Lineage: Eukaryota; Ciliophora; Oligohymenophorea; Peniculida; Parameciidae.
UAGUUUAGUGGUAAAACAUUGCUCUCUAGCAGUAAAGAUCCGAGUUCAAGUCUCCG